GGGUUAGGGUUAGGGUUAGGUUAGGGUUAGGGUUAGGGUUAGUUAGUAGGGUUAGGUUUGGGGAACUGAGUUAGGGUUAGGGUUAGGGUUAGUUAGGGUUAGGGUUAGGGUUAGGGCGAGCGAUAAGAUCUCUCCUCCCGUUAUGUUGGGAGGAGGUAAUGCACAGUCCAUCCCCCAGUGUUCUCGGGUUAGGGUUAGGGUUAGGGUUAGGGUUAGGUGAGGGGAACCGAACCCUCCCUCUCCCAGUAUAGGGGAAAUAAUUCCCCUUCCGGGAUCGGGGGGGAGAUGCACGGUCCAUCCCCCUACGCCAUCUCCCGUCUCCAUUUCCCCAUUCCUGGCGGCGUGCCUGCUGGCCACGCCGGUCAUAGUGGACCACUUUCCACUCUCCACCAGUCAUCUUAGUUCAAAUUUUCUUUUUUGUAUUUUCAAUUGAGUUUUAUAGAGUCGCCUUUGUUAUUUAUGUAAUAAUUUAUGUUUUGGACGUGCUAUUUAUUAACAGUUAUGAAUUUGUAAUAUAUCUCUAAUUAUAACAACAAAAAACAAAAAAAGAGAAAAUCCCCAAAAAAAACAACUUUUGUCGACCAAACGGUGUGCCUUGACAACGUUUCGGCUCUAAGGAGCCUUCCUCAGGUCCUGGCACACUGAAUUUAAUAAAUGCACUGUAAAAAUAAGUGAUGUUGACUGUUCAAACUCCCAAACCAAACUGAGCUAGUGAAAACGCCCUCCCCUUUUAUACCCGUUGUUUUUUGGUCCUAUUUUAAAAAAGAUCUUUUAAAAGAAUAUGUGCAAAGUAAAACCCACUUUAAAUUAACCCCAUAAUUGCCAAUCCUUCUGCAUAAUUGCCAUCUUGCAAUUGAACCUUUGUCCAUGUAUUGAUAUUUUAACCUUAUAACUCGUUUAAUAACAUUUUAAUAAUUGUAUAGUUUUUUUGGCUUUUUAUGCUGUUUUAUAUUUUUUAAUGUAUUUUACCAAUUGUUUUGCUUUUUUGGGUCUUUUUAACUUUUUGUGAUGUAAUUGUAAUAAACUUUGUUCCCCCUAGGGUUAAAGUUGGAAAUAGGGAUAGGAAUGAAGUGGUUAGGGUUUGAAGUGGUUAGGGUUUAAGAUUAGGGGUUGGAAAUGGGGAUAGGAUAGGACUAGAGUUAGAUAGGGAUGUGAGUGGUUAAGAUUAGGAGUUAGGUUUGGAUAAGGAGAUAUAAUAGAGUUAUGAAUUAAAAAUUAAGAAUUAAAAGGGAGUGGUUAAGAUUAGGGUUAGGGUAGGAUAAGGGGAUAGAAGGUUAGGAUUAGGGGAUAGUGUUGGUUAAAGUUGGAAAUGGGGAUAGGGAUAGGAAUGAAGUGGUUAGGGUUUGAAGUGGUUAGGGUUUGAAGUGGUUGGGGUUUAAGAUUAGGGGUUGGAAAUGGGGAUAGGAUAGGACUAGAGUUAGAUAGGGAUGUGAGUGGUUAAGAUUAGGAGUUAGGUUUGGAUAAGGAGAUAUAAUAGAGUUAAGAAUUAAAAAUUAAGAAUUAAAAGGGAGUGGUUAAGAUUAGGGUUAGGGUAGGAUAAGGGGAUAGAAUGUUAAGAUUAGGGGAUAGUGUUGGAUAAGGGGAUAGAAUAGAAAGAUAGGAAAUGGUUGGGAAUUGGGGAUAGGAAGAUGGAAGUGGUUAGGGUUAGGGUUGGAAAUGGGGAUAGGAUAGGACUAGGGUUCGGGUUAGACAGGGAAGGGGGUGUGGGUUAUGAAUGGAUAAAAUUUAGCCAGAUAAGAGAGAGGAGGGGUUUGUUUGAUUAGGGUGGCAUUUAGGGUAGGGUAUCCGGACCGUAUUCCCUAAUGGUGCGCGACAUUCAACCCCCCUGGCACUUUAGACCCCAAUCUGAAUAUCCAUCGCCGUUCCAUGGUCUUUCUCUCUCUCUCUGUCCACAGGAUAUUCCUUUGUAAUCCCGCUACCCUCAACGCUCCCAAUCCAUGGAUCAAGAAAUGCUGAACCAGUGGAUAUUCCUUUGUAAUCCCGCUACCCUCAACGCUCCCAAUCCAUGGAUCAAGAAAUGCUGAACCAGUGGUGUGUGUAAAUCUUUCUUGUGGUUCACAUUAUAUCUGUGUUGUGUGAUGCGGGUCAUCAAUGUGUUGGAAGUUUCCCCGACAUACUGCAGUCCACACUUCUUGCACAAUAUGAGAUAGACACAGUUGGUUGAUUUGGGACUAAAUCCUUGUUCAAUUUUAAUGAUUGUUUUAUCCACUGCAUUCCUGACGAAUUUGAGUUUAAUAAAAUAUUUGCUCAAUG
Long non-coding RNA from Phyllopteryx taeniolatus (common seadragon), 2253 nucleotides. RefSeq lists it as uncharacterized. The transcript is spliced from 2 exons. Lineage: Eukaryota; Metazoa; Chordata; Actinopteri; Syngnathiformes; Syngnathidae. The record is from RefSeq and is a predicted model, not a curated record.